UAGGCGUAAAUGAUGCGAGUUAAGUGUGGGGGCAUCUACGAGAUGGCCCUGUGCUGUAGGGUAGCCGUUAAACUCGCUGCCUGGGGAGUACGGUCGCAAGGCUGAAACUUAAAGAAUUGGCGGGGGAGCACCACAAGAGGUGGAGGCUGCGGUUCAAUUGGACUCAACGCCGGAAACUCAUCGGGAGCGACAGCAGUAUGAUUGCCAGGUUGAUGACCUUGCUUGACAAGCUGAGAGGAGGUGCAUGGCGUAGUCGUGU
RNAcentral lists this ribosomal RNA (259 nucleotides) under uncultured archaeon. RNAcentral's name for it is "partial 16S ribosomal RNA". It matches the Rfam family "Archaeal small subunit ribosomal RNA", at positions 748 to 1009 of the family's 1478-position model. The record is from RNAcentral.